Molecule: ribosomal RNA, 787 nt
Filed under: uncultured Methylomonas sp.
Lineage: Bacteria; Pseudomonadati; Pseudomonadota; Gammaproteobacteria; Methylococcales; Methylococcaceae
Description: bacterial SSU rRNA
Rfam family: Bacterial small subunit ribosomal RNA
Source: RNAcentral
GGGCGUAAAGCGUGCGUAGGCGGUUAUUUAAGUCAGAUGUGAAAGCCCUGGGCUUAACCUGGGAACUGCAUUUGAUACUGGAUGACUAGAGUUGAGUAGAGGAGAGUGGAAUUUCAGGUGUAGCGGUGAAAUGCGUAGAGAUCUGAAGGAACACCAGUGGCGAAGGCGGCUCUCUGGACUCAAACUGACGCUGAGGUACGAAAGCGUGGGUAGCAAACAGGAUUAGAUACCCUGGUAGUCCACGCCGUAAACGAUGUCAACUAACCGUUGGGUUCUUAAAGAACUUAGUGGUGGAGCUAACGUAUUAAGUUGACCGCCUGGGGAGUACGGCCGCAAGGCUAAAACUCAAAUGAAUUGACGGGGGCCCGCACGAGCGGUGGAGCAUGUGGUUUAAUUCGAUGCACCGCGAAGAACCUUACCUACCCUUGACAUCCAGAGAAUCUGUGAGAGAUCGUAGAGUGCCUUCGGGAACUCUGAGACAGGUGCUGCAUGGCUGUCGUCAGCUCGUGUCGUGAGAUGCUGGGUUAAGUCCCGCAACGAGCGCAACCCUUAUCCUUAGUUGCCAGCGGUUCGGCCGGGAACUCUAGGGAGACUGCCGGUGAUAAACCGGAGGAAGGUGGGGACGACGUCAAGUCAUCAUGGCCUUUAUGGGUAGGGCUACACACGUGCUACAAUGGUCGGUACAGAGGGCCGCAAACUCGCGAGAGCCAGCAAAUCCCAAAAAGCCGAUCCUAGUCCGGAUUGCAGUCUGCAAUUCGACUGGAUGAAGUCGGAAUCGCUAGUAAUC